Molecule: long non-coding RNA, 1665 nt
Filed under: Toxoplasma gondii VEG
Lineage: Eukaryota; Apicomplexa; Conoidasida; Eucoccidiorida; Sarcocystidae
Source: RNAcentral
GAAGAAUUCUGCCGGGUUCUUAGCCGUCACGUGUGUAAAGUGUCUGGCGUUAAUACUGUUAAGGCGAUAGUGGCAUCCUCAUAGCGAGCGACACAGUACACCUUCCCCGUCACCACAGGCGCCACCCUGCACCUUGGUCGUCCAUGGUUGCCCAUGGGCCUCACAUGGGAAGAACAGACAUCUCCGGUUCAGCAAGUAGUUACUAUACAGAACUUCGCGGAGGUGUGUGAUCGGAGGAACUUGCCAGAUACCCCGGGAUUAGACCUAUUCUCAGGCACGCUCUCUACCGCGCUUUUUGCAGCGCGGCCGCUACCAUGCGGACGGCAGAGUGUGCGAGGAGUCCAAACGAUAGACGCGUCGCAUCAGAAAUCCCUACUCCCAUCAAGAGUUCUCGUUGCUCCACUGUUUUGGAAGUAUCUGGCUGUGCCUGCCACCUGGGAUGGGCACUCCAUGCCACGGACUGGGUUCCACACAGGGUGUCUUUUGCCAGGACUAUUGCCGCCUGCAAACGUCUGCCGCUGGGCUGGUCCACCGGACAGAGAUGCAGAUUUGAGUUGAGAGUGGCCACACGUUGAAAGUGGGAAUCAAGGAGUAUGUCUCAAUGAGAGAGCUUCGUCUGUUCCACAGCAGUUCGUCUUCUGCCUAAGCAUCCGACCGAGCGUCAAGACUGCCUGUCGAAGCAAGUUUAAAACGGCACUGGCACGGUCGAAUAGCUGUUCUUCAGCGCAGUUGUACUUCUUGGUGCCAACUGGAGUCCCGUGCAGCGUCAGAAAUAUCACGUGUUCAUGUGAAUGCUUGUCAAGAUAUCACCGGGUGAAACAGUUUAAUUGGCCCUUGAUCCUCGAUGUGUUCCGCGUGUGACGCUUCUGACAUACCCCGCAGCCAGCGGCUCGUCUAGUAGGCAACAGCUCCAGCGGAGAGGAAUCCUACAUUCGAACGGAAAUACUUCUGGAGGGUCGAAUAGCGCGUUAGCUGACCAGGGGAACUGGUGUCUGGACGCAAACAAGGAGCAACACAACACACCAUCUGACGCCGCCGCUGGGAUGGAUCUUUCCGUGUGUUCUGUCGCAUGCCCGAAAGAGACCAUGCGAGACUACCAAGUUACUGCGACGCUGGCAAGGCGAAGACUAGUUUUAAUUCUCUGGGUGUUACAUCAAAUACGCACCGAAGGCGGCCACACCCAUUUUGCCCAUUGCCGUCAACAACAGCCCUGGCACCGCUGGACUCGUUCACGUAACCGCGGUCGGCCCCCAGAGAGCAAUCAGCAUUUCACUAGUAAAAUGUCGUGAGUUAGCCACUUCCCCGUGUGGCUUCGUAUGGCAGCGGAGGACAACUCAGAGCUGGGCCCUUUGUAUCUGUGUGGAAACCUGUACCUCACUCGCAGUAACGGGAUAGAUGGCGUGCCCCUCGAGUUCUGUUUCCGUCACAGACGGUUAACCAGGCGCCAGAACCGGGAAUCACAAACAGAGCGGCAAACGAGACAGCGGUUGCCUCGUUCACCAUGACUAUAAAAUGCGCAGUGCCAGGCUACGAUAGCCUUGCGUCAUGCAGACUAUCAAAUAAUAAUUCCCUUUCGUAUCUUGCCUUCAUGCGGUACAUAAUGAGGCUCUCAGAUCCUUUUCAUGAAGGUUGAAGCAAAAGAUCUCGUUGUCAGGCGGGACUGGG